AUUGAACGCUGGCGGCAGGCCUAACACAUGCAAGUCGAGCGGAUGAAGGGAGCUUGCUCCUGGAUUCAGCGGCGGACGGGUGAGUAAUGCCUAGGAAUCUGCCUGGUAGUGGGGGAUAACGUCCGGAAACGGGCGCUAAUACCGCAUACGUCCUGAGGGAGAAAGUGGGGGAUCUUCGGACCUCACGCUAUCAGAUGAGCCUAGGUCGGAUUAGCUAGUUGGUGGGGUAAAGGCCUACCAAGGCGACGAUCCGUAACUGGUCUGAGAGGAUGAUCAGUCACACUGGAACUGAGACACGGUCCAGACUCCUACGGGAGGCAGCAGUGGGGAAUAUUGGACAAAGGGGGAAAGCCUGAUCCAGCCAUGCCGCGUGUGUGAAGAAGGUCUUCGGAUUGUAAAGCACUUUAAGUUGGGAGGAAGGGCAGUAAGUUAAUACCUUGCUGUUUUGACGUUACCAACAGAAUAAGCACCGGCUAACUUCGUG
This 484-nucleotide ribosomal RNA is filed under the name uncultured bacterium. Its description in RNAcentral is "partial 16S ribosomal RNA". It matches the Rfam family "Bacterial small subunit ribosomal RNA", at positions 30 to 507 of the family's 1533-position model. The record is from RNAcentral.